GGCAGCAGUGGGGAAUAUUGGACAAUGGGCGAAAGCCUGAUCCAGCAAUACCGCGUGAGUGAUGAAGGCCUUAGGGUUGUAAAGCUCUUUCAGUAGGGAAGAUAAUGACGGUACCUACAGAAGAAGCACCGGCUAACUCCGUGCCAGCAGCCGCGGUAAUACGGAGGGUGCUAGCGUUGUUCGGAAUUACUGGGCGUAAAGAGCGCGUAGGCGGUUUUGUAAGUUGGUAGUGAAAUCCCAGGGCUUAACCCUGGAACUGCUAUCAAAACUGCAGAACUAGAGUAUGGUAGGGGAUAGUGGAAUUCCUAGUGUAGAGGUGAAAUUCGUAGAUAUUAGGAGGAACACCAGAGGCGAAGGCGACUAUCUGGGCCAUUACUGACGCUAAGGCGCGAAAGCGUGGGGAGCAAACAGGAUUAGAUACCCUGGUAGUCCACGCCGUAAACGAUGGGUGCUAGAUGUCGGGAGCUUGACUUUCGGCGUCGUAGUUAACGCGUUAAGCACCCCGCCUGGGGAGUACGGUCGCAAGAUUAAAACUCAAAGGAAUUGACGG
RNAcentral lists this ribosomal RNA (550 nucleotides) under uncultured marine bacterium. Its description in RNAcentral is "bacterial SSU rRNA". It matches the Rfam family "Bacterial small subunit ribosomal RNA", at positions 347 to 916 of the family's 1533-position model. The record is from RNAcentral.